GACGAACGCUGGCGGCGUGCUUAACACAUGCAAGUCGAGCGGUAAGGCCCUUUCGGGGGUACGACGAGCGGCGAACGGGUGAGUAACACGUGGGUGACCUGCCCUCAGCUCUGGGAUAAGCCUGGGAAACCGGGUCUAAUAACCGGAUAUGACUCCAUGACGCAUGUUGUGGGGUGGAAAGCCUUGUGCGGCUGAGGAUGGGCCCGCGGCCUAUCAGCUUGUUGGUGGGGUGAUGGCCUACCAAGGCGACGACGGGUAGCCGGCCUGAGAGGGCGACCGGCCACACUGGGACUGAGACACGGCCCCAGACUCCUACGGGAGGCAGCAGUGGGGAAUCUUGCGCAAUGGGCGAAAGCCUGACGCAGCGACGCCGCGUGAGGGAUGACGGCCUGUGU
Molecule: ribosomal RNA, 395 nt
Filed under: uncultured bacterium
Lineage: Bacteria
Description: bacterial SSU rRNA
Rfam family: Bacterial small subunit ribosomal RNA
Source: RNAcentral